UGGGGAAUAUUGGACAAUGGGGGGAACCCUGAUCCAGCCAUGCCGCGUGUGUGAAGAAGGCCUUAUGGUUGUAAAGCACUUUAAGCGAGGAGGAGGGUACUGGUAUUAAUACUACCAGGUACUGGACGUUACUCGCAGAAUAAGCACCGGCUAACUCUGUGCCAGCAGCCGCGGUAAUACAGAGGGUGCGAGCGUUAAUCGGAUUUACUGGGCGUAAAGCGUGCGUAGGCGGCUAAUUGAGUCGGAUGUGAAAUCCCCGAGCUUAACUUGGGAAUUGCAUUCGAUACUGGUUAGCUAUAGUGUGGGAGAGGAUGGUAGAAUUCCAGGUGUAGCGGUGAAAUGCGUAGAGAUCUGGAGGAAUACCGAUGGCGAAGGCAGCCAUCUGGCCUAACACUGACGCUGAGGUACGAAAGCAUGGGGAGCAAACAGG
Molecule: ribosomal RNA, 430 nt
Filed under: Pseudomonadota bacterium
Lineage: Bacteria; Pseudomonadati; Pseudomonadota
Description: Proteobacteria bacterium partial 16S ribosomal RNA
Rfam family: Bacterial small subunit ribosomal RNA
Source: RNAcentral